UGGCUGGUCGCGCUCUCGCUUGCGGUCGCCACGCUCGCCUCCUAUACCGCGCUCGACCUGUCGGGCCGGAUCGCGCUGCUCGCGCACGGCCGGCUGCGCCAUGCGUGGCUCGCCGGCAGCGCGGUCGCGAUGGGCGUCGGCAUCGGGUCGAUGCACGUCAUCGGCGUGCUGUCGGUGACGCUACCCAUCCGCAUCGGCUUCGACGCCGCGAUCACCGGCCUGUCGCUCGCGCUCGCGAUCGUGGUGUCCGGCUUCGCGCUGUAUACGAUCGCCGGCGCCCAACUGACGAGGCUGCGGCUCGGCAUCGGCGGCGUUCUGAUGGGGCUCGGCAUCGCGGGCAUGCAUUACACCGGCGACGCCGCGAUGCGGAUGAAGCCCGCCAUCGAGUACGACCCGCUGCUGUUCACGGCAUCGAUCGUCAUCGCGCUCGUCGCCUCGACGGUCGCGCUAUGGAUCGCGCAGACGCUCAUCGGCAUCGGCCGAUCGCGGCUGGCCCGCAUCGGCGCGGCCGGCGUGAUGGGCGCGGCGAUCACCGGCAUGCACUACACCGCCUACGCCGCCGCGAUCUUCGCCCCCGGCUCGACCUGCGGCGCGGCGACCGGCAUCGAUCUGCGCUGGCUCGCGGCGACCGUCGCGCUCUUCACGGUCGCGAUCCUGAUCGUCGCGCUGAUCCUGUCGCACUUCGACGUGCGCACGACGCUGCUCGCCGGAUCGGUUUCGCGCCUGAGCGGCCAGAUCGUGCGCAUGGCCGCAUUCGACACGCUCACGGAUCUGCCGAACCGCCACACGCUGAACGAGCACCUCGGCCGCGCGCUCGCGGCGGCGCGGGCGCGCGGCGGCAAGCUGGCGAUCCUGUUCAUGGAUCUCGACGGAUUCAAGACCAUCAACGAUUCGCUCGGCCACCCGGCCGGCGACGAAGUGCUGAAAACCUUCUCGCAGCGGCUGCUGCGCUGCGUGCGAGACGGCGACAUCGUCGCGCGCCUCGGCGGCGACGAAUUCGUCGUGCUGCUGGAGAGCGUUUCGUCGGACGAUGAAGCGGCCCGCGUCGCGCGCGAUGUCCUCGAACGGAUGCGCAAGGGGCGCUGGAACGACGGGCAGGCGCUACAGGUCACGCCGAGCAUCGGCAUCGCGCUAUAUCCGAAGGACGGCGAUACGGCCGACACGCUGCUCAGGCACGCCGAUGCGGCGAUGUAUGCGGCCAAGCGCGGCGGCCGCUGCACCUACCGCUUCUUCGAGGCGACGAUGGACGAGGCGGCGGCGCGGGCGCUCAAGCUUCAGCACGCGCUGCACGAAGCGCUCGAUUCCGACUACUUCUCGCUGUGCUUCCAGCCGAAAUUCCGCUGCGACGGCCACCGGCUCGCGGGCGCGGAAGCGCUGUUGCGCCUGAAUCAUCCGACGCUCGGCAAACUCGCGCCGAUGG
This 1420-nucleotide ribosomal RNA is filed under the name Burkholderia mallei 2002721280. RNAcentral's name for it is "16S ribosomal RNA". The record is from RNAcentral. Lineage: Bacteria; Pseudomonadati; Pseudomonadota; Betaproteobacteria; Burkholderiales; Burkholderiaceae.